CCUACGGGAGGCAGCAGUAGGGAAUUUUGCGCAAUGGGCGAAAGCCUGACGCAGCAACGCCGCGUGAUUGAUUAAGCCCUUCGGGGUGUAAAGCUCUGUCAGUGGGGACGAAACUUGACGUAACUCAGAGAGGAAGCACCGGCUAACUCCGUGCCGGCAGCCGCGGUAAUACGGAGGGGGCAAGCGUUUUCCGGAUUAAUGGGGAGUAAAGAGUGCGUAGGUGGCAUAUUAAGUCUGGUGUGAAAUGCAGAGGCUCAACUUCUGUACGGCACUGGAUACUGGUAAGCUUGAAUGCGGUAGAGGUAAACGGAAUUCCUGGUGUAGCGGUGAAAUGCGUAGAUAUCAGGAGGAACACCAGUGGCGAAGGCGGUUUGCUGGACCGUAAUUGACACUGAGGAACGAAAGCGGGGGUAGCAAAUGGGAUUAGAUACCCCGGUAGUC
This 441-nucleotide ribosomal RNA is filed under the name uncultured bacterium. RNAcentral describes it as "partial 16S ribosomal RNA". It matches the Rfam family "Bacterial small subunit ribosomal RNA", at positions 338 to 795 of the family's 1533-position model. The record is from RNAcentral.